Molecule: long non-coding RNA, 377 nt
Filed under: Mytilus galloprovincialis (Mediterranean mussel)
Lineage: Eukaryota; Metazoa; Mollusca; Bivalvia; Mytilida; Mytilidae
Source: RNAcentral
UAAGUUCUAUUUAUUAAAUUGAUAUUGCGUCAUUUUUGGCACUUUGUAAAAUGGGGUCAUUUGAUAUAUCAAAUUGAAGGUCUUAAUGAGCUCUACUCAAAAUUGAAAAAUUUAAACCCCCUUUUCAUCCCAAUGGGCAGGGUGGGGUCAUUUAGUGCAAAAAUUCAAACUUCUCAGAUGGUCAGGUUGUUGCAUAUCAAAUGAAAGUCCACAAAGCGUUCAUUUCAAAUAUCAAGUUGACGUCCCCCUAAAAAUGGUUGAGUGGGGUUAUUGAGUGCAAAAAAUAUAUUUUCUUUUAAGAUAAGGUUGUUGUAUAUCAAAUGAAAGGUCAUGAUGUGUACAUUUGAAAUAUCAAAUUCCUGACCUCCACAAAUGAG